RNAcentral lists this unclassified non-coding RNA (732 nucleotides) under Hevea brasiliensis (rubber tree). Lineage: Eukaryota; Viridiplantae; Streptophyta; Magnoliopsida; Malpighiales; Euphorbiaceae. The record is from RNAcentral.
GCCAAAGGAGGAAGAAUGGAAACCUGAAAUCAUUGAAAUAUUUCAUAUAAACAUAAAUCUUAAAAAUGUUUCAACAGAUUUAAGCAAUCAUAUAUUUUUUGUUGUGCCAUGUUCAGACAUGUAAUGAGGAACAGCUUCUGAAUUAUAGACCUAAGCUUAGGUUAUAAAAUGUAAAAUAACACAUUCCAAAGUCAGUUAUAGUUAUAACCAAUGCUUUGAUAAUAUUACAUGUUAAUUUCCCAAGUAGCUAAGGAAUUAGCUAAACAAAUAUAUGCCAUUAUUUUAGGAUAACAAAGAAUCACACCAAUGCAUUCUGCACAAUACAGUUGAGGAUCUCCUGAGCUCAACGCUAUCGAUGUGCUAUAAUAACCAAGAAAGAGAUCGAUCCCUUUCAAAUAGUGAAAUUCAUCUUCCUCAUUCACCAUUGUUUAAAGUACAAGCAGUUUUGAGUUUCUAUCCUUAGUAGCUAAUCAGACCUUAAGACUGAGUUCUAAGCAGAAUUGUGCACAUUCUUCUCCUAUAAUACUUGCGUUGUCUUUUUAACAUUUUUUAUGCUAGAAGAUACAUGCAGGUGUCAAUUUAGAUUUAAAAAAACAUAUAUCAAAAUACAUGGUAUGUAGGAAGCUAAUACCAACCUAUAUUUGAUGUUGAACCAUGUGAUUUCUGGCACAUGAAGGACACUUUCCUUAAAAUCAUAACUUUCCUAGUCCAUGCAGCUUCUGUCAAAUUUAA